This 483-nucleotide ribosomal RNA is filed under the name uncultured bacterium. RNAcentral's name for it is "partial 16S ribosomal RNA". It matches the Rfam family "Bacterial small subunit ribosomal RNA", at positions 28 to 507 of the family's 1533-position model. The record is from RNAcentral.
GACGAACGCUGGCGGCGUGCUUAACACAUGCAAGUCGAACGCUGAAGCUCAGCUUUUGUUGGGUGGAUGAGUGGCGAACGGGUGAGUAACACGUGAGUAACCUGCCCCCUUCUUUGGGAUAACGCCCGGAAACGGGUGCUAAUACUGGAUAUUCACUGGUCUUCGCAUGGGGGUUGGUGGAAAGGGUUUUUCUGGUGGGGGAUGGGCUCGCGGCCUAUCAGCUUGUUGGUGGGGUGAUGGCCUACCAAGGCUUUGACGGGUAGCCGGCCUGAGAGGGUGACCGGUCACAGUGGGACUGAGAUACGGCCGAGACUGCGACGGGAGGCAGCAGUGGGGAAGAGGGCACAAUGGGCGCAAGCGUGAUGCAGCGACGCGGCGGGAGGGAUGGAGGCCUUCGGGUUGUGAACCUCUUUCGCUCAUGGUCAAGCCGCAACAAUGGUUGUGGUGAGGGUAGUGGGUAAAGAAGCGCCGGCUAACUACGUG